RNAcentral lists this ribosomal RNA (492 nucleotides) under uncultured bacterium. Its description in RNAcentral is "partial 16S ribosomal RNA". It matches the Rfam family "Bacterial small subunit ribosomal RNA", at positions 29 to 507 of the family's 1533-position model. The record is from RNAcentral.
AGUGAACGCUGGCGGUAGGCCUAACACAUGCAAGUCGAACGGCAGCACAGUAAGAGCUUGCUCUUACGGGUGGCGAGUGGCGGACGGGUGAGGAAUACAUCGGAAUCUACUUUUUCGUGGGGGAUAACGUAGGGAAACUUACGCUAAUACCGCAUACGACCUACGGGUGAAAGCAGGGGAUCUUCGGACCUUGCGCGAUUGAAUGAGCCGAUGUCGGAUUAGCUAGUUGGCGGGGUAAAGGCCCACCAAGGCGACGAUCCGUAGCUGGUCUGAGAGGAUGAUCACCCACAUGGGAACGAAGACCCGGUCCAACCUCCUCGGGGGGGCAGCAGGGGGGAAUUUGGAAAAAGGGGCGCAACCUUGACCCAGCCAUCCCGGGGGGGUAAAAAAGGCUUUGGGUUUGUAAGCCCUUUUUGUGGGAAAAAAAAACAAGCAGGUUAAUCCCCCCCUUUCCUGACGGUACCAAAAAAAAAACCCCCGGCAAACUUGGUC